AUUUCUCCACCCAGUAGAAGCUUCUGGGCUUGGCCGGCGGACGUGCAGUUGGAAAGCUUUGGCUGGAGGUCCCGUAGGGGAAAAUCAGUACAGGUUUGCUUGUGUUCCUCUGUGCUCCUUGUCAGUGGCAAGUUUGGAUCCCUUUUGCACACCUGGUGCUGAUGGCAAUGGAAGAGGAAAGGUAGGCAAUGGUGCCUCAUAGUGAGAAAGGGUGGAGGUGGGGGAAAUGCCCGAUGAUGGAUGCCCUGGGAUCCAUCACGUUGCUUCUUACACUCAUUUGCUGUUUAUGAUUCUGAGCAGGGAAACCAAGCCUGACACAGACGCCGAAGAUUAAAACGGAAUCACUAUUUUUUAAUAUGGAAGCAAGACUCAGGGGGUUUCGAUGGGAAAUUGCAGGGCGCAGAAGUUGGGGUGGGAGGGACCGGGUCACAGCCCCUGCCAGGCACCUGCCCCUCCCAUCCUGUCACACUCAUUUGUCUCUGUCUCCUCCAGCAGGAAUUGAUUUGCUGAUGUGCAGCCUCAAAGUUGGAGCAGAUUUCAGGUAGGACUUGUGCCAUGCAUGGCAGAGCACAUGACAGGCGACUUGAGAAGUCAAAGCUGCCCUGAAGUCACCACGGCAGCAGCAUCUUCUCUUCCCUCAGUCUGUGGCCUCUGAUCCUAGGAUGCCACCAUGGUGACACCAGUGGGCACACAAAUCUCUUCCUGGCUGGGAGCAGCUGUUGAGGGUGCGUUGGUUUUACCUGCGGCCCUCUGCUCACUUGGUCACUCCCUUUGGGGUACAGCAGGGCCAGUGGAGCUCUACUUCCUGGGUGACAUGGCUGCUUGACCGUUCUGCCCCCGAGUGUCUCGGCAACAUAUUCCCUGUUCCUAGGAUGUCACUUUCUCAAGCGUCACCUCUGUGUCAUUUUCUACAUGUGCUGACAUUGCCCGAGAGUACCUGAGGUUAUGCGGUCCCACAGCCCUGGCACUGAACAGAACCAGCAGGGAAAGCAGGGAUGGACUGGGAAGUGACCUGUGAGCCUCUCUUCCUGCUGGGACUGAGCUAUCAUUUCAGCCAUCAUGGCCUUGCUUCUGCCCCUGACCCACACUGCCGGCAAAUUGUCACCUUGUCAGUGGGCGAAUCCAUCAUGGUCCAGUUCCUCCCCAAAACCUGUCAGCUGCCAUCUGGGGCUUCUGCACAGGCAUCCUGGGGAACGUGGGAAAUACAGCCAUCAGGAGGACACCUUCACGGGCUCUGGGAUGGGGACCUGGACAUUGCUCACUGACCCUGAAGAUCAAGGAUGGUGACCAGAUAAACUCAGGAAAGACUGUCAUGGUUGUGAACUGUGGUGGGCCAAGGAGAGGGCAGGGAUUUGGGUGUGAGUGGGCACAGGGGCCAUAGAUGCUGGCCACUGAGUGGACAUGGAGAGAAACGGAGGAGGAAGAGGAAGCUGGGAAUCCCAGGGUAUUUGCUGGGAUGUCAUGGAUGAUGCUGACCCAGUUAUUCCAAGGGUCUAUUCAGUCACUAAGGAUGAAUAAAGAUUCCAAAACUGAUUUAUAAGGUCUGUGACAGGGAAGGCACUCAUAAUUAUAAACUGGUUAGCACCGGAUAUUAUGCACUGAUUUUUGCCUGAAUCAUUAAUUAGCACGUGAAUCAACAGCAGCUGCUACCUCAUAAAUGAGCUAUUCUGAAUUUUUAAAAAAAAACUAAAUGUAAUAAAAAGGGAAGACCCAUAAAGGUGAAGAUCAAGAAGCAUUCCUUAGAAUUUAUUUUCAUGUUGCAGGCCAUAUAUGAGAACCUAUUUGAGAACUAUGGACUGUGUUGUAGUUAGGGGUUGUACACAGAGAACAAUUAGAAUCAGGACAUGGAGUUCAUAAUAUUGUUUUAUGAUGCUCAUCGGCAGUUAACACAAGAAAGUGCACCAAAGACGUAGAAUAUUUAGUCAAGGACCUAAAUCCCACAGCAAUGUCCCACAUGAGCCCAGAUGAAAAUUCAGAGCUCAUGACAGUGCCUCCCACGAGUCCACCUGGAGGUCCAGAGCCCACAGGAAGGACUCACACCAGUCUCUUUUAGGGAUCGGUGACGGGACGGUGCAAAGGUCAGCGGUGGAAGCCAGAAAGUCCAUGUUGCGGGGUGAAGGAGCUGUGCUGGUGGGAUGAGGGUUCUAUGCUGGAGCCACGAAGCCACACUCACAACAAAGACCAGGGCUGUCCUGAAAAGCACCACAGCCAUCCUUAGCAACACAGAAGCCCUGAGCUUCUCUGACGACAAGCACAGUCGAGUACAUGCCAGGAAGCCAGCGUGACGAGUUCAUCCUGGAGACCAAGCUGCACACGUCUUCCCCUCUGGAGCCAGGAAACAGUGCUCGAUAUGAGGAACAGAGCUUCUCCAGGAGAACCAACAGUGCCUCAAUACCUCAAUGCAAUAAUGCAUUAACACCUUCCUUCUCCUUCUCCACCUCUCUAUUUAUGCUGGCAACUUUCCUCAGGUGGAGCAUCUAUGCUCAGUGUAAUGCUGGUGUAAUCCAGCUGGGGUUAAGUUGACCACCAGUUCUUAAUCCAUAACAGACUGUCACUCAGAAAGCUAAACUGAAGGCUCUGGUACACAACAAAUCGAACACUUCAGUGCAGAAAUCAGUGAGAAGGAAACAGCUUCGUAUUUUCUGACGUCUAAGGACAGCAAGGCUGCUGCUGCUUCAAUUUGAGACUUCCCCCAUAGCAGCUUGAGGAUCUGGGCACCAAGGCAGAGGCACCCAGUUCUCCUGACCUCUCUCUCUGGCCAUGGCCAGUGGCCCAGAGGACCCCCUGUUCACAGUGAAUUUCAGAUGGGCCCGGCAAGGCUCUGCCCUUCUCAAGGCAGGGUGACUCGGUGCCACCAUUCGCCUUAAGUCACCGUGAUCUCAACCCAGCAGGCAGCUCGGUGCCUGGCGGGAAGACCCAGAGAAAUCCAAGUGCGAGAAACCCCUCUGUGAGUCUCAGGUUCCCUGCUUGCUCUGUGCUCAUCACCAGUGCUGCCCGGUGCAUCCAUCUGGGGGCCAGGAUGAAGGAGGUGACACCUGGUAUGAAUCAUGGCUGUCCUGUCCCCCUACACAGUGGCUUCUACUCCUGCCAAGCUUUUAGCAAACCUGAGAGACAGAAAUCGAGGAAGACAUUGGUGCUGGUAAAGCCUGCAAACUGAACAAACCUCUGGGGCUCUCCGGGGGCUGGGUCCUGGUAGUUUUGGGGGUGCCUUGUUUAAUUGAAUGCAGAAGAGCAUGCAUUGCUUAGAACCUUUCUGAAAGCCCAGAGCAUGGGGCAAUGUUUGAAACAUUCAUCAUUUUUGUAGGAGUGUUCGUGGAGGUGAAGGGAAGGAUUGCAGGGGCCUGCCCUUUUCAGAGGGCACUGAGUUUUUUUUUUUUUUUUUGGUCUUUUUCUUUUUUAUCGGUACUGGGGAUCGAACUCACGACUGCCUGCUUGCAAGGCAGGUGCUUAUGCCGCUGAGCUAAAUCCCCAGCCCCAGGGCACUGAAUUUCUUUACUCCCAACCUAAUCCUCUUCACAGACUGCAGCUGCCACAAAGGAUGGCAUUUCUCUCCUUUCACCAUUUCAGCUGCCUGGUGCACUGCUGAUGCCCACAUGUUGUGAAUGCAAACCUUCCCAGGAAAAGCCAUCUCUGGGGUGUUACCCCGGAGGUUGCCUUCACUACCAGUGACAAAGUUUCGGGGCUCGUCCAGGUCCCCCAGACCUGAUACUUGCUUUUCCCCAUCCUUCUGCCCUCAAGCUGCCCCUAGUUUGCAUUCUCAGACUGUUGUAAAGAGACCAGGGAAAGGGAAACCAGGUUUAUUUGGAUUGUAAACACGGAUCGGAUUAGCAGUAAGCAAAAAUAUUUCAAAAUGCAUUUUGAAAAAUAAGAAUGCAUUUCAAAGCCUGUCACAGCCCAUAAAUUCACUUAGAUGAAAGACCUGACAUGCAAUAAAAAUGUCUCAUUUAAGAAGUGAAAUGAUCCUGUCAUUUGUAGCAGGGAUUAAUAGAAUUUUAAAAAGCAGUGAGCUCAGAUGUGGCUGGGUGAGUCACAGUGGCCUU
Molecule: long non-coding RNA, 4040 nt
Organism: Cavia porcellus (domestic guinea pig)
Lineage: Eukaryota; Metazoa; Chordata; Mammalia; Rodentia; Caviidae
Source: Ensembl